UAUUCUCUCAUCUCUCAACCACUCAACCUAAUCCAAGCUCCUCUCACCCGCCGACCUCCUUCUCCGGUCCUCUCCGGUGAACACCCUUCAACCUAUAAGCCUCUAAUGCCUCCUCCAUUGCUAUGCUCAUCUUAUCUGAGGCCUUCAAGGGCACUAGGCCACGCCGACUUGUAUCUAGAGUUUGUUGUUUGGGUUGUUCUUGGUUACUUGGGUGUGAUUUUGAGCAAGAUCAUACUGUAUUUGUUA
Molecule: long non-coding RNA, 246 nt
Filed under: Nicotiana benthamiana
Lineage: Eukaryota; Viridiplantae; Streptophyta; Magnoliopsida; Solanales; Solanaceae
Description: long non-coding RNA (NBEN_LNC030154)
Source: RNAcentral